Lactuca sativa (garden lettuce) is the source of this 599-nucleotide long non-coding RNA. RefSeq lists it as uncharacterized. NCBI's taxonomy places the organism in Eukaryota, Viridiplantae, Streptophyta, Magnoliopsida, Asterales, Asteraceae. The record is from RefSeq and is a predicted model, not a curated record.
CGCGACUCGACAAGGCACCGAAAAAGCUGAGGGCUUGAAAUUGUCGCAAGUCUCGCGUUUUAAACAUUUAUCCUGACGUUCUCCCCCAAAAUCCCACCUUCCAUCUCUCUUUCCCGUUCUUUACUGCUUCAUCUUCUAGCCACCUCUCUUCAUCGACGCCCAUCUUCACUGACACCACUUUCGCCGCCGUUCGUGUUCGCCGCCGCCGCCCCCACCCAGUUAAUGGCAGCUCCGACGAUGACAAUGUGUGAUUAGCUGUCUUCCCUGUACAGAAUUCUGAAAGCUCGGAAGCAACAUUGCAUAAAACUCAAAGGAGAUUUGUAGGUAGUUUUUAAUGUUCCUAGAAAAGACAUGCAACAUCUACUCCUUAUGAAUCCAGAAAGAGCCACUCUUUUACAACAACAAGCAUCAAUAAAUAAAUAAAAUAAAAUAAAAAUAAUCUUCGACUCAUGUAACGUGUACUAUGUAGUAGUGAUUGAGAUAUGCAUAUAUAACGAAUUUGUGUUCUAGAAUGAGAUGAUAAUGAUAUAUUCUUUAAACUGUGUUCGUAACAUUUUCAAUUUUCAAUUUUCAAUUUUAAAAUCUUGAUUUCAUGUGUU